Non-coding RNA from Pelobates cultripes (western spadefoot toad), 253 nucleotides. The record is from the annotation of a GenBank genome assembly. Lineage: Eukaryota; Metazoa; Chordata; Amphibia; Anura; Pelobatidae.
AAAGCUCCAGGCUCAGAGACGGCCCUACAUGAGGGCGAUCAAAGAGGUGGCGGCGUGGAUCCGCCCAGCAAUCCGGCGCCACUUAGGCUGGAAUCCCCCUCGUGUCCCCAGAGUGGCCCACCAGCGGAGCCGGAGACCAGCACAGAGGGAAACAACGCCAAGUAUCCUAGGCACCAGCACUGGUGCUCCCACGCCUCGGAGGGGAUCCUGCAAAUAUGCCAAACCCGCCUACACAUCAGCGGCCCCAACUGCC